This 1039-nucleotide long non-coding RNA is filed under the name Rhinopithecus bieti (black snub-nosed monkey). RNAcentral describes it as "lncRNA (ENSRBIG00000045976.1)". Lineage: Eukaryota; Metazoa; Chordata; Mammalia; Primates; Cercopithecidae. The record is from RNAcentral.
CUUAAACUGAAGAAGCUUCAACCAACCAGCUGGAAUCUAAUCCUCAGCUCUUCUAUUCCAUUUAAGGAACGCCAUGAAGCUGUUGUACGGCGCACAAUGGAAAGGAGCCAGAAGCCAAAACAGAAGCAUAACCGUUGGUCGUGGGGAGGCUCUCUCCAUGGGAGCCCUAGCAUCCACAGUGCAGAUCCAGACAGGCGGUCAGUUUCCACCAUGAAUCUUUCGAAACAUGUUGAUCCCGUCAUUAGCAAGCGGCUCUCCUCCUCAUCUGCAACUUUACUAAAUUCUCCAGAUAGAGCUCGCCGUCUGCAGCUCAGCCCAUGGGAGAGCAGCGUUGUUAACAGACUCCUGACGCCCACACAUUCGUUCCUGGCCAGAAGUAAAAGCACAGCUGCCUUGUCUGGAGAAGCAGUUAUCCCCAUUUGUCCUCGUUCAGCAUCUUGCAGCCCCAUCAUCAUACCCUACAAAGCUGCACACUCUAGAAAUUCGAUGGAUCGACCAAAACUCUUUGUAACACCACCUGAGGGCUCUUCUCGCAGGAGGACCAUUCAUGGCAUAGCGGUGAGUAGCUGUUGGGAGCAGCUGGGCAAGUCUGGGAGCCAGUGCUGUUCCUGUGCAGACUGGACACAACCCUGAGGCAUGGUGUGGGCCUAAGAGGGGGAGACCGCGACAUCCACCAUCCCAUCUCUCCCAUUGAUCAUGAAUCUGGCUGGCUGGGCAGCAGUGUCCCCUUACUUCCUCUUCACUUGGGGAUUUUGCUCUCCCUAAACAUUUGAAUUUGAAGACAAAAGCUGUUCUUUGUUCAAGCAUAUAUGAGUGGAUGCCCUACCCUGCUGGAGCAUCCAUACACAUAAGUGCAAUGCCAGAAUACUUUCAUUUUUGAAAGUAGGAAAACCAAAUGGCCUUUGAAGGGGAAGUGGGCUUGGACCGCUGCCUUGGCAUUUUAUUCCAACCAUAUCCAGAAGCUGGCUGAACUCUAAAUGUGAUUCACUCAAAAGCAAGAUAAAGAAUUUUUAUCCUGCUUGACUAAUCCCUGUCAAGG